Molecule: ribosomal RNA, 499 nt
Filed under: Blastocystis sp.
Lineage: Eukaryota; Bigyra; Opalinata; Blastocystidae
Description: SSU rRNA
Rfam family: Eukaryotic small subunit ribosomal RNA
Source: RNAcentral
UAUAAAUAAUUUUACUUUGAAACUGCGAAUGGCUCAUUAUAUCAGUUAUAGUUUAUUAGAAAUAUUUUACUACUUGGAUAACCGUAGUAAUUCUAGGGCUAAUACAUGAGUAAAACCUCAACUUCGGAAGAGGUGUGUUUAUUAGUAUGAAAACCAUAUAUCUUCGGAUAUAAUAGUGAGUAAUAAUAACCUUUCAUAUCGUAUGUCGUAAGAUAACGAUAGUUCUUUCAAGUUUCUGCCCUAUCAGCUUUCGAUGGUAGUAUAUGGGACUACCAUGGCAGUAACGGGUAACGAAGAAUUUGGGUUCGAUUUCGGAGAGGGAGCCUGAGAGAUGGCUACCACAUCCAAGGAAGGCAGCAGGCGCGUAAAUUACCCAAUCCUGACAUAGGGAGGUAGUGACAAUAAAUCACAAUGCGGAACUUUUAGUUUUGCAAUUGGAUUGAGAACAAUGUACAAAUGUUAUCGAUAAACAAUUGGAGGGCAAGUCUGGUGCCAGCAG